This 526-nucleotide ribosomal RNA is filed under the name uncultured bacterium. RNAcentral's name for it is "bacterial SSU rRNA". It matches the Rfam family "Bacterial small subunit ribosomal RNA", at positions 984 to 1509 of the family's 1533-position model. The record is from RNAcentral.
ACAUCCAGCGAACUUGGCAGAGAUGGCCUUGGUGCCUUCGGGAACGCUGAGACAGGUGCUGCAUGGCUGUCGUCAGCUCGUGUUGUGAAAUGUUGGGUUAAGUCCCGCAACGAGCGCAACCCUUAUCCUUUGUUGCCAGCGAUUCGGUCGGGAACUCAAAGGAGACUGCCGGUGAUAAACCGGAGGAAGGUGGGGAUGACGUCAAGUCAUCAUGGCCCUUACGAGUAGGGCUACACACGUGCUACAAUGGCGCAUACAAAGAGAAGCGACCUCGCGAGAGCAAGCGGACCUCAUAAAGUGCGUCGUAGUCCGGAUCGGAGUCUGCAACUCGACUCCGUGAAGUCGGAAUCGCUAGUAAUCGUGGAUCAGAAUGCCACGGUGAAUACGUUCCCGGGCCUUGUACACACCGCCCGUCACACCAUGGGAGUGGGUUGCAAAAGAAGUAGGUAGCUUAACCUUCGGGAGGGCGCUUACCACUUUGUGAUUCAUGACUGGGGUGAAGUCGUAACAAGGUAAGCGUAGCGAG